GAAUUUUGCGCAAUGGGCGAAAGCCUGACGCAGCAACGCCGCGUGGAGGAAGAAGGCCUCCGGGUCGUAAACUCCUGUCCCCAGGGAAGAAGGAAGUGACGGUACCUGGGGAGGAAGCCCCGGCUAACUCCGUGCCAGCAGCCGCGGUAAUACGGGGGGGGCGGGCGUUGUUCGGAAUGACUGGGCGUAAAGGGCGCGUAGGCGGCCCGAGAAGUUCUGGGUGAAAGCCCCCGGCUCAACCGGGGAAGUGCCUGGAAAACCAUCGGGCUGGAGUGCUGGAGAGGCAAGCGGAAUUUCUGGUGUAGCGGUGAAAUGCGUAGAUAUCAGAAGGAACACCUGCGGCGAAGGCGGCUUGCUGGACAGACACUGACGCUGAGGCGCGAAAGCCAGGGGAGCAAACGGG
RNAcentral lists this ribosomal RNA (403 nucleotides) under uncultured bacterium. RNAcentral's name for it is "bacterial SSU rRNA". It matches the Rfam family "Bacterial small subunit ribosomal RNA", at positions 359 to 776 of the family's 1533-position model. The record is from RNAcentral.